UGCAAGUCGAGCGGCAGCACGGGUACUUGUACCUGGUGGCGAGCGGCGGACGGGUGAGUAAUGCCUAGGAAUCUGCCUGGUAGUGGGGGAUAACGCUCGGAAACGGACGCUAAUACCGCAUACGCCCUACGGGAGAAAGCAGGGGACCUUCGGGCCUUGCGCUAUCAGAUGAGCCUAGGUCGGAUUAGCUAGUUGGUGAGGUAAUGGCUCACCAAGGCGACGAUCCGUAACUGGUCUGAGAGGAUGAUCAGUCACACUGGAACUGAGACACGGUCCAGACUCCUACGGGAGGCAGCAGUGGGGAAUAUUGGACAAUGGGCGAAAGCCUGAUCCAGCCAUGCCGCGUGUGUGAAGAAGGUCUUCGGAUUGUAAAGCACUUUAAGUUGGGAGGAAGGGCAGUUACCUAAUACGUGAUUGUUUUGACGUUACCGACAGAAUAAGCACCGGCUAACUCUGUGCC
RNAcentral lists this ribosomal RNA (460 nucleotides) under Pseudomonas sp. RNAcentral describes it as "bacterial SSU rRNA". It matches the Rfam family "Bacterial small subunit ribosomal RNA", at positions 56 to 509 of the family's 1533-position model. Lineage: Bacteria; Pseudomonadati; Pseudomonadota; Gammaproteobacteria; Pseudomonadales; Pseudomonadaceae. The record is from RNAcentral.